Molecule: long non-coding RNA, 1465 nt
Organism: Epinephelus fuscoguttatus (brown-marbled grouper)
Lineage: Eukaryota; Metazoa; Chordata; Actinopteri; Perciformes; Serranidae
Exons: 3
Source: RefSeq, a predicted model, not a curated record
CACACACACACACACACUGAACUGGCCAGUAUUGCUAAUCUUCUUAGCAAUCACAAGGUUUGACUGUUGAAAGAGUGCAAAGUUCACAUCAUCAACAACAACAGAGGUUCCUGCCAAUGAGGGAGAACUGAAGAGUCAGAUAAAGAAGACAGACAGUCAUAAAAGACGAGAGCAUUAAUCGAAUCACAGCCGUUACCUCUGGACUGAAGCAGCCAUCUUUACUCCAUGAGGAAUUAUUCUUUGGAUUAUUACCUUCAGCAGUGAAACCUGAUGUCAUACACUGACGCUGACUGAACUUUAAAGCUUUUAAGUCUUAAAGUUAUGUGACAGCCAUCGUGAAAACGUCACCUUUGACUUCCAUUUAAUUCCUGGCUGGUGAAGAAGAUACACAUCAGCACAGACAGCUGUCAUGACAACUGUGCAUUAGCUCACUGAUCAUAUUUGGCAGCCAUCUGGAGGUCAUUCCUACCUACAUCCAUUUAAACUUGUCUCUCCGGGGAACCUGAAGACGGAGCAGUAUGGAGGUGCUCAGUGGCCCCUGGGCUGACUUGGCUCUGCUCCUGCGACGGACCAUCGCGCAGACACACGGAGAGACGGACAGCUUUCUUCCUCUCUGGCUGUUUGGCCUGCUGCUGUUCCUGUCUGUCUGUCUGCUGCUGCUGCAACUCAUCAUCUACCUCAGCUGGAAACUCAGACAGGUUGAGGCAGAUCUUUCUGGGUUUCCACAAGACAGAGGCGCCAUCUACAGGCAGAUACACAGAAGUACAGCGCAGAGGAGGAGGAGUGUUGGGUUGCACUCUCACACCUGACAGCAGACACACACCUCAUCAACACAACAGACUCUCAAAACCUGCUGAAAUGAACUCUCGUCUGACUGUUUCAAACAGUGCUGUCAGUCAGCGUGGGUAUCUGUGCAGAGACACGUGACCAGCGUGGACAUAUCCCAGGCAGGAUGAAGGUGCCUUAAGAAGUAACUAAAAUCCUUAGUUAUAAUAAAAUCUGUGAAAAUUCUUUUUGUUUAAAACCCUCAGGGAAAUCUGGAAGUUAUUAAGACAACUGUCUCUAAACUUCUCUGACAUCAUUAUGAAGCUACAGGCAUCUCCUGGAGCUGUAUUUAUUUUCCACCCUCUCGUUAAAUUUGAGAAACUGUCACCCUGAAAUUAUCAUUUUUGUACAGCUCUAAGUUUCAUUAUUAGACUGUCUGUGCAACAAUACUGGAGACUGGUUAGUUUUUUAAAUGAACCAAUAAAUGGAUAAAGAAAUGAUGUGACCGAGACAUGUCAGAGUAUAACAAUCCUUUAUUUAAACAGUGUUACACGGGGGAGGAGUGGCUGUGUGUGGGGAGAGACACAAGACAGUGAAGCUGCUAGAUAGAAAAACCCUACCAGUGAUCAUUGGUUGGCUAAAGACGGAGCGAAGAGGCAGCUGGGGUCGGUUUUCCAAAAAUGUUCCUUUACAAAGUUUC